UGCAGUCGAGCGAUGGAUUAAGAGCUUGCUCUUAUGAAGUUAGCGGCGGACGGGUNNNUAACACGUGGGUAACCUGCCCAUAAGACUGGGAUAACUCCGGGAAACCGGGGCUAAUACCGGAUAACAUUUUGAACCGCAUGGUUCGAAAUUGAAAGGCGGCUUCGGCUGUCACUUAUGGAUGGACCCGCGUCGCAUUAGCUAGUUGGUGAGGUAACGGCUCACCAAGGCAACGAUGCGUAGCCGACCUGAGAGGGUGAUCGGCCACACUGGGACUGAGACACGGCCCAGACUCCUACGGGAGGCAGCAGUAGGGAAUCUUCCGCAAUGGACGAAAGUCUGACGGAGCAACGCCGCGUGAGUGAUGAAGGCUUUCGGGUCGUAAAACUCUGUUGUUAGGGAAGAACAAGUGCUAGUUGAAUAAGCUGGCACCUUGACGGUACCUAACCAGAAAGCCACGGCUAACUACGUGCCAGCAGCCGCGGUAAUACGUAGGUGGCAAGCGUUAUCCGGAAUUAUUGGGCGUAAAGCGCGCGCAGGUGGUUUCUUAAGUCUGAUGUGAAAGCCCACGGCUCAACCGUGGAGGGUCAUUGGAAACUGGGAGACUUGAGUGCAGAAGAGGAAAGUGGAAUUCCAUGUGUAUCGGUGAAAAUGCGUAGAGAUAUGGAGGAACACCAGUGGCGAAGGCGACUUUUCUGGUCAGUAAGUGGACAAUGAGG
This 716-nucleotide ribosomal RNA is filed under the name Bacillus cereus. RNAcentral describes it as "bacterial SSU rRNA". It matches the Rfam family "Bacterial small subunit ribosomal RNA", at positions 56 to 751 of the family's 1533-position model. Lineage: Bacteria; Bacillati; Bacillota; Bacilli; Caryophanales; Bacillaceae. The record is from RNAcentral.